Molecule: microRNA precursor, 97 nt
Organism: Cyprinus carpio carpio
Lineage: Eukaryota; Metazoa; Chordata; Actinopteri; Cypriniformes; Cyprinidae
Source: Ensembl
CUGCUCUGGGUUGAGGUAGUUGUUUGUACAGUUUUUAGGGUCUGUUAUUCUGCCCUGUUAAGGAGUUAACUGUACAGACUACUGCCUUGCCCAGGGU